Molecule: long non-coding RNA, 983 nt
Organism: Contarinia nasturtii (swede midge)
Lineage: Eukaryota; Metazoa; Arthropoda; Insecta; Diptera; Cecidomyiidae
Exons: 3
Source: RefSeq, a predicted model, not a curated record
AGUAUUUGACGUAUUGCAAUUUAGAGGUAGUGUGUAUAAAAGCACCACAGUAUCAUAACAAAUAAAAUAAAACGUCGAAAAUUGUCAUUCGUUGUCUUGUUCUCGGUGCGAUGUGAAGAGCGAUCGAUGAUAUAAAAAUAUAUUCAACAGGCGUGAGGAAAAAAAAUCGUGUGUGAAACCAAGGAGAAUUGGCGAAAAAUUGUGUAAACAAUAUUUCGUGGCACAAAUCAUUGGUAUCGAAAGGGAUCAGUUUGAUAUGGAUCAAAUUCGGAGCACCAUUCGCAACGUAAGUGGGAAAUGUUUGUGUUUUAUUAGUCUGGCCGUACAGAAGGUCACAUUCUAUCAGAUUUGGCACAACACAUAUACAGCAGAUUGUUCCGAAUACGUCAUACGAUGAACAUGUGUGUUUACAUUUUGUUGUUUUCAUGCUACAUAUUUGGUAUUGAAUUCGAUUCGUGGCUGUCAACAAAGUUGGCUACGCUCUGAUAUACGUUGUUUGAGUGUGGAAAACGCAAUACGGAAUCGUUGGCAUACGCAUACAAUAGUUUUUUUUUUUGGAGCGUUCGAAAUGAUGACCAGUGAUCGCAGCUAUUUGGCUUGAAUGGAUUUGCAUUUUUUUAAAAAGGUAGUAUCAGCAGGUAUUUUUCAAGAGUUUUUUUUUUAAAUAAAAACAAACAAAUCAAACAUAAAUGACCAAAUCAGCGGACCAAUCGAAUUUUUUUUCGUGUCUUUUUUUUAUAUCAACUAAAGGCAAUUUGAAACAUUGAAUUCAUUUGCUGUUUAUUCGAUUUUGAAAGCAGCUAUUGCAUUUAAAUGGGUGUCUUUUUGCAUUAGUUGUGUGCCACUUUGUACAAUUUACCAUUUUUGGGCAAAUUGGUGCAAUUAAGUGCAAUAUAUGUUUUUUUUUUCUCUUCUUUUUUGCGCAUUGAUUCGUGUCAGUUUUGACACUACCAAGGUAAGUAUCAAUUUUAUUGGGAAUUUUC